GAGCAAGUUGGGUUUCACUUCAUUUUUGCCCCGGUUACUUGUUUCUCAGUUCCCUCAUGUGAUACCGACCGGAUUCACAGGCCAAAGGGAAGAGGAAAGUCCAAUUGCUCUUUCUCAACAUCUUCACAGACCAAAGACUUCGUACAAUGUGAGCAGCCUGGGACCUCCCGUCCGAACCUCAUCUUUGAUACCUGUUUCCUCAACACCUGGACACACUUUUCACACCUGCCCCGACCGGGUUGGACUCUGGUCCGUCUCGACUGCAAAGGCGGCAGCCUUGUUCACCUAUGCAAGAGACGCCACGGCCGUCACCUGUCCUCCCACGACGAGCAACAUCACCAUCGCCACUCGGGUGUCUCGUCCUGGUCCAGAACCUCACACUGGGCUCCACGGCAGGACGUCCUCUGUAGCGGAGACUCGACUAUGGAAACAUCGGUGAUUUGCUUGGUUCUGACAUCGAUUCUGUUUGCACAGACCAUGGUUGUCCUCACAAAAUCCUGUGAUAACUUCUCGAUGACGACCGUCCUCACUCACCUGGUGAAAGACACCAGAAAUAACAUCCAGAACGAUGCAACCCUCACUGUGACAAGUGUGACAACUGUCAGGGAUGAACAAGCAAUGUGCACGGUCAUGCUGCAGUUGUGGUUGUAUGCUGAGGCGUUGCAAAAAUAUUCCCGAAAAUUUGGCGAAGGGAUGCUGAAGAAGAAUCUCACAAAAAUUGCGGAGAAUACUCAGAAAGAUAUUAACCAAACCAACAUCAGACAAGUACGGAGCCAUUUACAAAAGAAGGAGGCUGAAGCCAACAAAACAAACAUGAAUAUCAUGGAAUUAUUUUCCCACAUGAAACAACUGUGGAACUUGACAAAGUUUCACGGGUUAGACUGUUCCUGCGGAAACUUCUCCCUCAACCGAAAACACCAAAUCAACACCACCACAAGUCAGCCAAACGUUUCUGAAUAUAAUGUGACAACUUUAUUAAAAUGUCCCUGGACAAAGAGUGAAAUCAGCUUCAAAGAAUGGCUGACACAAGUUCCAGCAUUCCUGAUGGGCAUGGUCACUUCGAUUCUACUUAUUGGCAUGGUGUACCUGUUCAAAAAUAAGUUCCACAAGCACAAACGGAACUACAUGAUGAACACAAACCGUGUGGUUGAGGAGAAUGAAGAGGAAGAUAUUCCAGGGAGUGUGUUGCUUGAGAGUGCAGCUGUGUAACGAAAACUGAUGGACAGAGGACAAUGAAAUCAGAUACAUCUUCAUUCACUGUGAAUAGAAUGCAUUUUUAAACCAUUGUAUUUUGUAUGUAGAAAUAUAUAAAUAUUUGUACAGUUUAUAUGUUGAAAUGAAAUAAAUUGAUAAUUUUCGUUUUUCUCCACUUGGUAAAAUGAUCAUCAUCAGAUCGGAUAUAUUCCAUUGGAUGCUCACCAUUUUAACAGGCCAUUGGUCUUUGUGAUGGUCCAUCGAUGAGGAAGGCCAACUUUGCUUUCAAUCCAUUUGAGGAAUUUGAUUCAGACACCUGCUUCUUUGUGUGCAAAAAUAAAUACAUCAAAAUAUCUUUAAAGAGCCCAAAGGAUGUGAGGCAAUGAGCCUGACGAGUCUUCAAAAAGAAGGCAUUCUGAACGAUUCACCAUAUGAUGUUAAGUACAUCUCAAACAACAGUUGUAUUAGAUGUGAUGCUGUGAGAAGUGGAAUGAACAUGCCACAGGAUUCAAUCCAAAACAAAAUGACGAUCACCAAGGGAUGCUGUCACUUGAGAUCACCCCCCAAAAUAGAGGCAAUAUCCCUGGGUGCUCAUCUGGUAGAAUAAGACUGAGGAGGAAGUCAAUGUGGGACAAAAUCACGAAAAUGUACCAAUGAAGCAAUGUGAGAGCAAAUACCUAUUUUGGGGGGCAACAACCCUGUAACCCCCACAGACUCCGAUUUUUAAAAUUGCGUAAACAAACUUUGGUACAUCACGGGUGAAGAAGGUUGUGCUCAAGCUUCAUCGAAAUUGUGUGUGUGUGGUUUCGGAGAAGAAAGCAAAUGCAUGUUUUGGGGUCAACCUCCCAUAUAAACCCCCUUAGACACUGAUUUUUUUCAUGUUAUGAACAAACUUUAGUGCAUCACGGGUGAUGAAGGUUGUCGUCAAGUUUCAUCAGAAUUGUGUGUGUAAUCUCUGAGAUGAAAGCAAAUACCUAUUUUGGGGGGCAACCCCCCUUCCCCCAUUGACCCCGACCUUUUUGGUGUGAACAAACUUUGGUACAUCAUGAGUGAUGAAGGUUGUGGUCAUGUUUCAUCGAAAUUGUGCGUGUAGUUUCAGAGAAGAAGUUGAAAGUGUUUGUGGACUCAAAUAAAGAAGUCAACACUCAUGCCAGGAGGGUGGGGAAAUUCUGCAGGAAGGAACUGAUGAUAUCAUUGUGAUUACUGAGGCCAGGCAAGAAAAAUAUAAUUUCAGGAAAGGAAAAUCAAAAUAAAGACCAUUUACUUAAAGCACUAUAGUUCCAAGAAGGAAGCAAGACAUUAAAAACAAACAAACAAAAAAAAAAACACACACACACACAACCAAUAUCAGGAACUUAAAUAAUAACAUGGAAGAGCUUAAAGCCAAAGUAGACAGCGAGGAGUAUGAUGUAGUUGCAGUGAGUGAGACAUGAUUUAAUGAGGAGAGUAACUGGAGGACAGGAUUAGAAGGCUACAAGGUGUAUCGACGUGAUAGGAAGGAGAGAAUAGGAGGAGGAGGAGAAGGAGGAGGAGGAGGAGGAGGAGGAGGAGGAGGAGGAGAUUAGAAAUUGUAAAAACGGUAAGAUACUGGUAGGAUGCUUUUGUAGGGCUCCUGGUAUCUAUACUAACUAGUGCGUGCCUGUACGUGCGUGGCCUUACGUGCAAAAAAAGACUUUCAAAACCACGUGCCAGAAGGAACAACUACAUAGGCCGUUCCUUCGUUCUCGCGUGCCCGUACGUGCAAAAAAACAAACAAACAAACAAACAAAAAAACGUUCAAACCGUGUUCCACAAACAACAACCACACAGGCCGUUCCUUCGCUCUCGUAAACGACGACUGGAUUGGGACAUUGUGUUUAUCUAUAAAUGUGCAUAAGAAAUCGAGAAAUUAUUAGAAUACAGUAAGUCAUCACUAUCCGGAAGUCCGUACGUUGUAACCCGUAAUGGGGAACGCGCUCUAACUUGGCCAUAACUUGGGAACCAAUUGUCCGAUUAAUUUCAAACCUUUUGAAAGGCAAACAAACAGAGAUUGCUGGAAUUAUAGAUAAAUAGAAGAUAG
This 3253-nucleotide long non-coding RNA is filed under the name Eptatretus burgeri (inshore hagfish). RNAcentral describes it as "lncRNA (ENSEBUG00000017129.1)". Lineage: Eukaryota; Metazoa; Chordata; Myxini; Myxiniformes; Myxinidae. The record is from RNAcentral.